AAGAUACGCCGGAUGGUCGCUCCGACGUAAAGUCGGAGAGGAAAGUCCGAACACCAUCAAAAGGGCAGUGGCUAACGGCCACCCUUUAAGAAAGUAAUUUCUUGGAGAGGGAUAGUGCCACAGAGACUAUACUAUCCCGCAUUUUGCGGGAAAAAGGUGAAAAGUGUUCCGUAGAACGGGACUCGCUCCGCUGGCAACAGCGGAAUGCGGAAAACCCUGCCUGGUGCAAGGCCGUGUCCCGCCAACCAUUGAAAUUUUCAAAGGAAGGCAGGAAGUGCCGCUUCAGACUAUUCCGCAAGGAAUGGCCGAGAUAAAUGACCGUACAUCCGCCUUAGGCGGAGGACAGAAUUCGGCUUACAGGCGCAUCAAAAAU
RNAcentral lists this RNase P RNA (373 nucleotides) under bacterium. RNAcentral describes it as "RNase P RNA component class A". It matches the Rfam family "Bacterial RNase P class A". Rfam says of the family: Ribonuclease P (RNase P) is a ubiquitous endoribonuclease, found in archaea, bacteria and eukarya as well as chloroplasts and mitochondria. Its best characterised activity is the generation of mature 5'-ends of tRNAs by cleaving the 5'-leader elements of precursor-tRNAs. The record is from RNAcentral.